Molecule: unclassified non-coding RNA, 245 nt
Filed under: Hevea brasiliensis (rubber tree)
Lineage: Eukaryota; Viridiplantae; Streptophyta; Magnoliopsida; Malpighiales; Euphorbiaceae
Source: RNAcentral
GGACGCAUCACUAUCUAUUCUUUUAGUACUUGUUUUGCACCUCUUGAAUCCUUCAAAAGCCCCCUUAAGAACCUUUGGGACUUCCAUCCAUCCCUUCAUAACUGUUCAUGUCUUUGGUAUCACGGAUAUGAAAACUAAACACCAACUUGUUAACUGAAACUAUCAAAAUGUGCGCCAUAUAUACAGCUUAAGAAACUUACGGAAGUAGAAAUAAGUUUAGUAAAUACAAAAAUCAAAUAAGAAUA